UGUCGUCAGCUCGUGUCGUGAGAUGUUGGGUUAAGUCCCGCAACGAGCGCAACCCUUACCUUCAGUAGCCAGCACAUUAGGUGGGCACUCUGGAGGGACUGCCAGGGACAACCUGGAGGAAGGUGGGGAUGACGUCAAAUCAUCAUGCCCCUUAUGGCCAGGGCUACACACGUGCUACAAUGGCGUAAACAAAGAGAGGCGACCACGCGAGUGUGAGCGAAUCUCAAAAAUAACGUCUCAGUUCGGAUUGUAGUCUGCAACUCGACUACAUGAAGCUGGAAUCGCUAGUAAUCGCAGAUCAGAAUGCUGCGGUGAAUACGUUCCCGGGUCUUGUACACACCGCCCGUCACACCAUGGGAGUCAGUAACGCCCGAAGCCGGUGACCCAACCUAAACAGGAGGGAGCCGUCGAAGGCGGGACGGAUGACUGGGGUGAAGUCGUAACAAGGUAGCCGUAUCGGAAGGUGCGGUUGGAUCACCUC
RNAcentral lists this ribosomal RNA (481 nucleotides) under uncultured bacterium. RNAcentral's name for it is "bacterial SSU rRNA". It matches the Rfam family "Bacterial small subunit ribosomal RNA", at positions 1050 to 1529 of the family's 1533-position model. The record is from RNAcentral.